RNAcentral lists this small RNA (646 nucleotides) under Histoplasma ohiense. RNAcentral's name for it is "hypothetical lncRNA". The record is from RNAcentral. Lineage: Eukaryota; Fungi; Ascomycota; Eurotiomycetes; Onygenales; Ajellomycetaceae.
AGGUGCAGAAGGGGAGUUGGUUGUGUGUCGAGGGCGGCGGUGUCCUCCAAGGCGGACGCAGGUUCCCAGGUCGGACAAUCAUAUCCUACCCAUUUGACAAGAUAUUUGCGGCGGCGGUGGUUGGUUCUAUUGUCAAGAAUUGCUUUGAUUUCCCACUUGAGUUCAUUGUCUUCUCCUAUGAUGGUGGGUGGCUGUCAAUUGGAGAUUCUCUGUGAGGGGAAUGGAUCCUCGGCUGCGGGUUGGAGCAGGUUUGUAUGAAAGACAUCAUGAAUGCCAGGCAGAGUGUUGAGUUGAUAAUUGUGUGUGCCUAGCACUUCCUUCACUGUAUACUUGGUGUGGUGGUAAUCUAGUGUAUGCGAGGGGCAGUCUGUUCUUAUGUUUUUGAGGUCCAGUCAGACUUUGUCUUCUAUAUGAUAUUGAGUUGCAGAACUCCUUCUGAUGUUUGCUUGAUUCUUGUAAUCUUGCUGAGUGCUGAUCAUUGAAGCUUCUGCCCAUUCAUGGGCUUUCUUCAGCUUGCUCAUGAUGUUCUCUGCCGCCUGUAUGAGGCUGCGGGCGUAUGCGGUUUCUCAGGGAGUCUCAGGGAAGUUCAGAAUCUCUAAGUUGUAUCCAUGUAGAAGGAAGAAUGAGCUUACAUCUGUUGUAGUGG